AUGGAGAGGUAUAUCCUUAUUGGGAUCCUUUAUGGUCCUAGACACCAUUGUCUUCCAGGAUGGCAUUCUCAAGAGGCUGAUUUCCUUUACCUUUCUGGUUCAUGGAGGAAAUCUUGUCGCCUCUCCCGGCUUGAGAUUCUUGAUAGGCCACGGAGAAAGGAUAGUCACCCAUUUUGUAUUCCUCUUCUUACACUUAACCAAAAGGCCACCUGA
Non-coding RNA from Vicia faba (fava bean), 213 nucleotides. Lineage: Eukaryota; Viridiplantae; Streptophyta; Magnoliopsida; Fabales; Fabaceae. The record is from the annotation of a GenBank genome assembly.